UUUUCAAUCAGGAUUGCUGAUUCACCGAUCCGGAUCAAUUUUUUGGGUACCCGAUCCGGGUCACCGAUCCUUUUUUUAAACCAUUGGUUUCAUCCGGUCUGCUCAUUUCACUUCCUCACCUUCAUACUCGAUACCCAAUAUCCAAUCCCCUCUCUCUCUCUCUUAAUCAACACGCUUUCUUAACAUCUCCUACCCUUUCAAAUCCAAUACCCGUCCCUCUUCCUUUGUCAACCCAAACAAACUUUCUCUCUGUCUCAACUAAAGUUUUCUCUUUCUUUAUUUUAUUAAAACCAUCCUAUUUACUUCUUUUACCCCUUCCUUUUAUAUUAUCUCAUUUUACUCCCUUUUAUUUCAUUGCAUUUACUUCCCUUGAUUCCAUUCCAUUUCUUUCAAUUUAUUUUGCCUCACUCACUUUACCCUAUCGUACUUUACUCUUACUCCAUUCAUUUAUUUUAUUUUAAUCAUUUCAUCUUAUUUUAUUUUCUUCCAUCCCUUAUAUUUUAUUUUACUUUACUUUAUUUAUUCACUUUAUUUUACUUUAUUUCAUUUUAUUUUAGUUUAAUCCCUUUUCCAUUUUCUAAAUCUAUUUUAUUUUCAUUUUAAUUCAUCUCUCUCAUUUUCUAUCACUCUCAUUUUAUCAUCACUUUUAUUUUACUUUCGUCUCUUUUGGAAGACCUAGCGAGAUUCAAGCUAGUCUUCACCUCCCCUCUUUCUCUUCUUUACUUGUUUGACAAGAGGGCAGAUUGAGUCUUGUGUUGCGUUUCUAGUCUCGUCUUCGAGCAGUAUUGCC
RNAcentral lists this long non-coding RNA (790 nucleotides) under Amborella trichopoda. RNAcentral's name for it is "long non-coding RNA (ATRI_LNC000931)". Lineage: Eukaryota; Viridiplantae; Streptophyta; Magnoliopsida; Amborellales; Amborellaceae. The record is from RNAcentral.